GCCCGGGUGGUGGAAUUGGUAGACACAAGGGACUUAAAAUCCCUCGGCCCUUAAAGCCGUGCCGGUUCGAUUCCGGCCCCGGGUA
This 85-nucleotide transfer RNA is filed under the name Fidelibacterota bacterium. Its description in RNAcentral is "tRNA-Leu". It matches the Rfam family "tRNA". From Rfam's summary of the family: Transfer RNA (tRNA) molecules are approximately 80 nucleotides in length. Their secondary structure includes four short double-helical elements and three loops (D, anti-codon, and T loops). Further hydrogen bonds mediate the characteristic L-shaped molecular structure. tRNAs have two regions of fundamental functional importance: the anti-codon, which is responsible for specific mRNA codon recognition, and the 3' end, to which the tRNAs corresponding amino acid is attached (by aminoacyl-tRNA synthetases). tRNAs cope with the degeneracy of the genetic code in two manners: having more than one tRNA (with a specific anti-codon) for a particular amino acid; and 'wobble' base-pairing, i.e. permitting non-standard base-pairing at the 3rd anti-codon position. Lineage: Bacteria; Pseudomonadati; Fidelibacterota. The record is from RNAcentral.